AAAGGACACCUUCAAAACGGAUUUGGAAAUCAUUAACGACAAACCACAAGAGGAGUGUGUUUUUCCGAAAAAUACCAAAGUGGAGGGAAACUGUAUCAUCACAUGUAACAUGACAAAGCUGCAGAAAAUCAUCAUUGAU
This is a long non-coding RNA of Cyprinus carpio (common carp), 139 nucleotides long. RefSeq lists it as uncharacterized. The record is from RefSeq and is a predicted model, not a curated record. The transcript is spliced from 3 exons. NCBI's taxonomy places the organism in Eukaryota, Metazoa, Chordata, Actinopteri, Cypriniformes, Cyprinidae.